ACUGUAAUAAAUACAAAUUUUACAAUACCAAAUACAAAUACAUAUCUACAUUGUAGCAAAUACAAAUCUUAUCAGUACCAAAUACAAAUACAAAUAUAAAUACAAAUCUUAUCAUUACAAAAUACAAAUACAUAUCUAUACAGUAAAAAUUACAUAUUAUAGAAAUCUCGUCGGAAUAUACUGAUCCACCGCUAUCACAUCAUCGAAAAAUCCAUAAAAAUUGGCUA
RNAcentral lists this long non-coding RNA (227 nucleotides) under Capsicum annuum. Its description in RNAcentral is "long non-coding RNA (CANN_LNC021918)". The record is from RNAcentral. Lineage: Eukaryota; Viridiplantae; Streptophyta; Magnoliopsida; Solanales; Solanaceae.